RNAcentral lists this small RNA (110 nucleotides) under Marmota monax (woodchuck). The record is from RNAcentral. Lineage: Eukaryota; Metazoa; Chordata; Mammalia; Rodentia; Sciuridae.
AUCGCUUCUCAGCCUUUUGGCUAAGAUCAAGUGUAAAUUUUCAAGGUAUGUGUUAUAGUGAAACAACGUUUGAAAUUAAGUUUUGGAGCAUGAAUUUGUAAAAAACAUUU